GGGGUUAUGGCUCAGCAGUAGAGCGCUUGCCUCCAUGUGCAAGGCCCUGGGUUCAAUCCCCAGCACUACA
RNAcentral lists this transfer RNA (70 nucleotides) under Marmota monax (woodchuck). RNAcentral describes it as "tRNA.Undet". The record is from RNAcentral. Lineage: Eukaryota; Metazoa; Chordata; Mammalia; Rodentia; Sciuridae.